UGAAGAAUAUUGUUCAACGGCGGCGCGUCUGAACCAGCGACGUCGCGUGAAGGAAGAUGGCUCUACGGGGAGGAAACUUAGUUUGUAAGGGAAGGAAGUGAGGUCAGUGUACGUAUUUGCAUGCACCUGAAGAAUAAGGAUCGGCUAGCUCCGUGCCAGCAUCCGCGGUCAUA
RNAcentral lists this ribosomal RNA (173 nucleotides) under uncultured bacterium. RNAcentral's name for it is "partial 16S ribosomal RNA". It matches the Rfam family "Bacterial small subunit ribosomal RNA", at positions 355 to 525 of the family's 1533-position model. The record is from RNAcentral.